Long non-coding RNA from Salarias fasciatus (jewelled blenny), 765 nucleotides. RefSeq lists it as uncharacterized. The record is from RefSeq and is a predicted model, not a curated record. The transcript is spliced from 3 exons. Lineage: Eukaryota; Metazoa; Chordata; Actinopteri; Blenniiformes; Blenniidae.
AAAUAAAAUCAAUUAAUUUGCAGUCAUUAUUUAAUUAUUUCCUUAUGUUUAUAAGUGUUUUGUAUUUUACUUUGAAAAACCUGAAGUUUAUUUUGAAGACCGGAAGUAGUAGGCCGCGCUAGUGAAGCAGUUUAACCUCACUAAUGCACAGACGGAGCACGCCACUUCACUUCCGCGUGAGAGAGGAAAACGGGAAAAAAGAGAGAGGAAAAACCGUCGUUGAAGCUCUUUCCGGCCGCGUUUCUCCUGAAAAAACCAUUGGUCAGGUUCUAUUGUGAUGCUUGGAAAGAGUGAAGCUUCAGCUUUCAUGUCUGAGGAAGCUGAUGAGCGAUCCAACUGAUGGCGAGCUCCCAGUCCACCUUCGGUGCUUCAAGCAGAACUUUUAAUUCCGCCACACCACUUAACGGAUUAAGUGGUAGGAUUUGUGUCAGUCCAACUGACCGGCACCAACGAAAGCCUUCCUUGGAUAUCCUUGAAUCUUGACUUUUGACUUUGACUUUUGGAUCCAAACCACCGAGGAACACUCCCAUUUGGACAUUUAUUUAUAUUAUUUUAUUUCUUAGUUUAUGGGCCCAAGGUUGUAAUGUUAUUGUGUUUAGUAUUGUUAAGAUCUUUGUGGAACUAAAGAGUUUCAAAUCAUUCUGCCUCUGUGUCCAGUGGUUAUUGUUUCACUCGGCUCCUACGAACCUAGUAUGUGACGUGUACAUACCCUGAAGUGGGUUACAUUUAAAAAAAAAAAAAAAAAAGUUUCUUAUAUUUUAUGUC